UUUUUUGAAGUGUUUCACAUUAUCUUUUCAUGAUAAAAAGGUAUAAAAAUU
This 51-nucleotide transfer RNA is filed under the name Planorbis planorbis. RNAcentral describes it as "tRNA-Glu". The record is from RNAcentral. Lineage: Eukaryota; Metazoa; Mollusca; Gastropoda; Planorbidae.